RNAcentral lists this ribosomal RNA (379 nucleotides) under Pseudanapis parocula. RNAcentral describes it as "partial large subunit ribosomal RNA". Lineage: Eukaryota; Metazoa; Arthropoda; Arachnida; Araneae; Anapidae. The record is from RNAcentral.
UCAAUGACAUUAAAUAGCCGCAAAUCGUGCUAAGGUAGCAUAAUCACUCGCCUUUUAAUUCAAGGAUAGAAUGAAAGAUUAUACACUUAAACUUCUUUAUUAAGAGUAUACAUUUAAAUUUUACUAAAUAUAAAAAUAUAUUUAUAUAUAAAAUAGACGAUAAGACCCUAUUGAACUUUACUUAAGUUUAGUUGGGGAAACUAAUUAAUAACAAUUUUAAUUUAAAUUAAUUAAUAAAAAUCUAUUUAAUAAAUAUACAAGCUACCAUAGGGAUAACAGCGUAAUAUUAUUUUAAAGCCCUUAUUUAAAAUAAAUCUUACGACCUCGAUGUUGAAUUAUAAUUACUAUUAUAAGCAAAAAUAUACAAAGUAGUCGUCGA